AACGAACGCUGGCGGCAUGCCUAACACAUGCAAGUCGAACGAGACCUUCGGGUCUGGUGGCGCACGGGUGCGUAACGCGUGGGAACCUGCCCUUAGGUUCGGAAUAACUCCCCGAAAGGGGUGCUAAUACCGGAUAAUGUCUUCGGACCAAAGAUUUAUCGCCUUUGGAUGGGCCAGCGUUGGAUUAGCUAGUUGGUAGGGUAAAAGCCUACCAAGGCGACGAUCCAUAGCUGGUCUGAGAGGAUGAUCAGCCACACUGGGACUGAGACACGGCCCAGACUCCUACGGGAGGCAGCAGUGGGGAAUAUUGGACAAUGGGCGAAAGCCUGAUCCAGCAAUGCCGCGUGAGUGAUGAAGGCCUUAGGGUUGUAAAGCUCUUUUACCCGGGAUGAUAAUGACAGUACCGGGAGAAUAAGCUCCGGCUAACUCCGUG
RNAcentral lists this ribosomal RNA (433 nucleotides) under uncultured bacterium. RNAcentral's name for it is "partial 16S ribosomal RNA". It matches the Rfam family "Bacterial small subunit ribosomal RNA", at positions 29 to 507 of the family's 1533-position model. The record is from RNAcentral.